GACGAACCGGACAAACGUUAUUCGGAAUCACUGGGCUUAAAGGGUGCGUAGGCGGCGCGGCAAGUUGGGUGUGAAAUCCCUCGGCUCAACCGAGGAAUAGCGCCCAAAACUGCCGUGCUCGAGGGAGACAGAGGUGAGUGGAACUUAGGGUUGAGCGGUGAAAUGCGUUGAUAUCCUAAGGAACUCCGGUGGCGAAAGCGACUCACUGGGUCUCUUCUGACGCUGAGGCACGCAAGCUAGGGGAGCGAACGGG
This 253-nucleotide ribosomal RNA is filed under the name uncultured bacterium. RNAcentral's name for it is "partial 16S ribosomal RNA". It matches the Rfam family "Bacterial small subunit ribosomal RNA", at positions 524 to 776 of the family's 1533-position model. The record is from RNAcentral.